This 253-nucleotide ribosomal RNA is filed under the name uncultured bacterium. RNAcentral describes it as "partial 16S ribosomal RNA". It matches the Rfam family "Bacterial small subunit ribosomal RNA", at positions 524 to 776 of the family's 1533-position model. The record is from RNAcentral.
UACGUAGGGGGCUAGCGUUGUCCGGAAUCAUUGGGCGUAAAGCGCGUGUAGGCGGCCCGGUAAGUCCGCUGUGAAAGUCGGGGGCUCAACCCUCGAAAGCCGGUGGAUACUGUCGGGCUCGAGUGCGGAAGAGGCGAGUGGAAUUCCUGGUGUAGCGGUGAAAUGCGCAGAUAUCUGGAGGAACACCGGUGGCGAAGGCGGCAUCCUGGACCGGCAUUGACGCUGAGGAGCGAAAGCCAGGGGAGCAAACGGG